GUUGGGGUGGCAGAGCCCGGUAAUUGCAGAAGGCCUAAACCCUUUACUCAGAGGUUCAAGUCCUCUCCCAAACU
This 74-nucleotide transfer RNA is filed under the name Nesiarchus nasutus (black gemfish). RNAcentral's name for it is "tRNA-Leu". It matches the Rfam family "tRNA". Rfam says of the family: Transfer RNA (tRNA) molecules are approximately 80 nucleotides in length. Their secondary structure includes four short double-helical elements and three loops (D, anti-codon, and T loops). Lineage: Eukaryota; Metazoa; Chordata; Actinopteri; Scombriformes; Gempylidae. The record is from RNAcentral.